Molecule: long non-coding RNA, 1177 nt
Organism: Papaver somniferum (opium poppy)
Lineage: Eukaryota; Viridiplantae; Streptophyta; Magnoliopsida; Ranunculales; Papaveraceae
Exons: 2
Source: RefSeq, a predicted model, not a curated record
AGCAGAUGGAUAUCUUUUCAUUUCUUCUUCUUCGUCUUUUUUUUUUUUCUCCCCACUUUCUUCUACUGCGGUUGCGCCUCCUCACCACCACCAUCAUUUCUCCGGCUGUUGAUUCUGCUGCUGCUGCUAAGUUUCCUUCAAAAGCUGAUGAAGAUGUUUCUGAAUACGAGAGAGAAGUGGGUGUUGUUGAUCGAAUUAAUUGAUGAGAAGAGAAGAUUUCUUUUGUUCUUUCUCGUAUGUUGCUGAAGAAGAGCUGCGAUUGAUUCAGUGAUUCAUAGGAUAUAGAUCUAGUGACCGUAAUCGAAGUUGAGAUGGGUUUAUUUGGUUCGACUUAGUGGUGGUGUUAUUCAAUUCUUGGUUAUAAUCAAAAGAAGAUGAAUUUGAGAUGGUAUGGAUCAAUGGGUUUGUUCGAAUUGAUACUCACCUGAAGCUGCUAAAUUUUGGUUUGCUAGGGUUUACUAAAAUCAUACGCUCUGUAUAUUGAUUUGGCAUGAUGUUUUGGUGUCUGGGUUUUGUUAAUAUGUGCUGAAAAUGAGAAUUCUUGAUUGAAAUUUUGAUUUUUGUUUUUUGUGAGAAUGAUUGAUGUGGGUUUGUUUUGAAUGUUUUUGAGAUUUUUGAUUACUACUUUUGCUUAAUUAAUUGUUUGGGAUUUUAAAUUUUGAAAUUCAUUUUUGUUUGUAUGAAUUUGUAAAAGAAUUAGAUCUAAGUAAAAUUGCUCUUGAUUUUUAUCAUAUUUGAAUUGUGUUGCAUCUAUUGAUCUGUUAUGGUGUUUGAAUUUGAAGAACUGAAAAGAGGAGAAUGUUGCGGAUGUGGUGUGAGUUGAUGUGAAGCUUGGGGUGCUACUAAUGGGUUGUGCAGGCAUGAGGUUUUGCAGGUUAUAGAAUUGAAGGUGUUGGUGUUGGUGAUUAUCAUGGGCGUGAGUAUGAGUUUGAGCAGAGAACACAACUGGAAAGAGUUCUUGCUGCGAUUGAAGUCGUGAAUCUCGUGAUGGAUUGAGAUGAAAAUGAAGAGACUAGAUGGAUGUUAGGUGUUACAGGCUUACAGCCUUACAGGGAAGGAGUUGAAAGGCCUGAAAAUGAUUUAAUGAAUUUUUGAUGGGUAUUGUAUUGAGGUCUAAUUUUUGUAAUUUGUGUUUGAUAAUUAUAAUUUGUCAUAAAUUAAGUUGAUUAAUUUUUUA